CGGCGGACGGGUGAGUAACACGUGGGUAACCUACCUAUAAGACUGGGACAACUUCGGGAAACCGGAGCUAAUACCGGAUAAGAUAUCGAACCGCAUGGUUCGAUAGUGAAAGAUGGUUUUGCUAUCACUUAUAGAUGGACCCGCGCCGUAUUAGCUAGUUGGUGAGGUAACGGCUCACCAAGGCAACGAUACGCAGCCGACCUGAGAGGGUGAUCGGCCACACUGGAACUGAGACACGGUCCAGACUCCUACGGGAGGCAGCAGCG
Molecule: ribosomal RNA, 266 nt
Filed under: uncultured Staphylococcus sp.
Lineage: Bacteria; Bacillati; Bacillota; Bacilli; Caryophanales; Staphylococcaceae
Description: partial 16S ribosomal RNA
Rfam family: Bacterial small subunit ribosomal RNA
Source: RNAcentral